Long non-coding RNA from Salvia miltiorrhiza (redroot sage), 1117 nucleotides. RefSeq lists it as uncharacterized. The record is from RefSeq and is a predicted model, not a curated record. The transcript is spliced from 3 exons. NCBI's taxonomy places the organism in Eukaryota, Viridiplantae, Streptophyta, Magnoliopsida, Lamiales, Lamiaceae.
UCUCCCACCUACUCUCCACACCUCUCUGCCAUAUCUCAAUUAUAUCAAAUCAUGGAGACUUUACUCAUACCAAAGAGACUUUACUCAUUCUACACAAAAGACAUGUUGCAUUCUUCUCAUCUGCAUUCAAGAAGGCAAGAACGCACAAAAGAAGCCACCAAGCACCAAGCACCAACCAUCAUUAACCCUCAAGGCUUUGUGACCAGGGGGAUUAGCGCUGCUUUCCCAAGACAGGUUUAUAAGUGAUUAUGAUCUUCAGGCUUUGCCUAACCAGGUUGAGCAGUUGAUGGAAUGGAAUGAUGUUGAGCGGGUGUUCCUUUGACAUUUCAAGAAAUGUAACCUUGAGUAUACAUCUUCAUAUGUAUAUCUCACACGUUUUCCGCUGCAAAGCUCUUUGAUUAGGAUAGCUCAAUGUUAUGAAGUUGUUAUACGUGUUAUUGGGUAACCCACCUUAAUCAGUUCACAUUUAUGUGUAUGUUUUAUAAGUAUCCAAAUAAUCAUAUAUGAUCCUAGCAUUUUAUCUAUGAGUGACAUUUCCAUAUACUUUAAUGUUAAGUAAUUGUCCAUUUCCAUUUCUUAUUGUUCACCCCAAGUCAUAACCCCGGUUAACCCGUCAUUGGGAUAGUGGGCUGUGACAGAGUGGUAUCAGAGCGGUUCGUUCGCUCUGACCCUAGAAACCUUAUUCUAAAGAGUCGAGUCUAGUUUGAUUCUUUAGACUUACACGGGUUCAUAUGGCACCGCUCAACACUCCAUUGCAUCGUGCUCAAUCAAGGAAAGAAGGUAACUGCAGUUUCAACGUUUUAAAGAUGUUAAUGUUCUAAAAUGCUUCAUGAAUAUGUUUAUGUGAAGAGCAGGUUAUGAUGAAAUGUUGAAUGUUUUGCCUUUCAUGGCAUAUUUUCGCAAUCUAUGAUGUUAUGAUCAGACGAAUGAUAGAAAAAUUGACAUAUGUUUUCCCGGAGAACAUAGAUUGCUAUAAGUUGCAUGAUCACAAUUUUAAAAGAACAUAGACUACUAGAUUAGUAGGAUAUCUCUACAAUCUAGAUUCUUAAGGUGAUGAUGUAGAAGAAUGAAAGAGAACUUAGAGCAUUUCAGCUCCCUCAAGAAAACAAUGAUUCUU